CAAGUUCAGUGCCAGGUUCACCAAAACAGAUGGUGAAAGUCCUAAUUUGUCAAGGACAGAUGUAAGAGGAACAUGGGGAUUCUGUACAUUAAGCUCAAAAUCUAGAGUUGUCAGUAUCAUUUUGCUCAGCCUCAAUCAUCCGUACUCUAUAUUGCUCAAACCAGUCAACAGGAAGCAUAAUGGAGAAGAAAGAACC
Molecule: long non-coding RNA, 196 nt
Organism: Telopea speciosissima
Lineage: Eukaryota; Viridiplantae; Streptophyta; Magnoliopsida; Proteales; Proteaceae
Exons: 3
Source: RefSeq, a predicted model, not a curated record